AUGAAAGAAAAACUAACAUGUUUUGAACAAGUCUGUGGGAUGAUAAUUAACUACUCUAAGAGUGAAAUCAUCCCAAUAGGGCUGAGAGCAGAGGAGUCUGUGUCCUUCUCUGAUAUCAUGGGUUGCACUGUGGGUGCUUUCCCCAUCAAAUACCUAGGAAUCCCUCUUCACUAUGAUAAGUUGAGGAGAGAGGACAUCCAACCUCUCAUUGAAAAGAUCCUGAAGAAAAUGGCUGGCUGGAGAGGGAAAUUACUCUCCUACUAUGCUAGACUUAUCCUUAUCAAGACUUGCAUUGCUAGUGUUCUAGUUUACCUGUUGUCCUUCUUUAAGUUCCCUAAGUGGGCCCUAAACCUGAUUAACAGCCCGCUGGCUCACUGUCUUUGGAGUGACUUUGAAGGGAAUAGGAAGCUUCACCUUGCCAACUGGCACUUGGUCUGUAUGAAAAAAGAGCAUGGUGGAUUAGGAGUACCAAACAUUAGAGAUGUCAACAUUUACCUGCUAGGGAGUUGGGUUAAAAGAUACAUCAAAGAUGAAGGGAAGUUGCGGAGAUCUAUUGUUGAUACUAAGUAUCUUAAUAAUUCCCCCAACAUCUUUUCUUGCAACACCCAACACACCUCCAGGUUUUGGCAAGGGGUCAUGUGGGCUGCCAAGGCCCUUAAGUUUGGCUAUAGGUGGGUAGUUGGAAAUGGGAAGAAGAUUAGGUUUUGGGAAGAUAUUUGGUUUGGUACCUCACCUUUAUCUGUCCAGUUUUGGCCCCUAUAUGUCAUCUGCCAGCAACAUGGUGAAACCCUUGAUAAGAUAUGGGACCAAACUACUAUUAAAUUGACCUUUAGAAGGAUUUUUUUACCCCUACCAUGA
This 858-nucleotide ribosomal RNA is filed under the name Triticum aestivum (bread wheat). RNAcentral describes it as "partial small subunit ribosomal RNA". Lineage: Eukaryota; Viridiplantae; Streptophyta; Magnoliopsida; Poales; Poaceae. The record is from RNAcentral.